RNAcentral lists this long non-coding RNA (20483 nucleotides) under Lupinus angustifolius (narrow-leaved blue lupine). Its description in RNAcentral is "long non-coding RNA (LANG_LNC002562)". The record is from RNAcentral. Lineage: Eukaryota; Viridiplantae; Streptophyta; Magnoliopsida; Fabales; Fabaceae.
GAAAUACUCUAAGACCAUAAUGGUCUUCUCCCUCACCUUAGACGCUUCAUUCAUGUGCUCAAUUCUAUCUUCUUUGAUCCAUCCAUGCCAUUGUCCCAUCCCAAAGAAAAAUCACAUUAUCUAACAGUUACUCUAAUGCAUUAAUUCCUCCUAAGCACACUGCAUGAUCAUUACCCAAAAGAUAACACAAAAAAACUUAAUUUCUAGUACUACAUAUCAGUACUUAUCCUUCUAUUUUUUUUAAACAGUUAAUCUCAUGUAUACCUAUACAUAUGACACGUAUACACAUAUAUAUGAAACGUAUAGCACUAUAUGCACUUUAUCAAAACAUGCAUAUUCUAGAAGUAAUGCAUAGGAUAAAUAUGGAUGAUAUUAUUAUCUUAUCAAACAAUAAUCUUCUAAAGUAAAAGGAAAGGAAAGGAUGCAGUAAUCUAUACAAAAAUGCAUAAACUUUAGUUCGCCUAAGUUGUGUGUUGAUAGAGUUAUUUCAGAGGUUUUCCCCCUCAACAAAUUAUCCCUGGCAGCGGCGCCAAUUUGUUGUAAGGAGUUGUCUCUUCGAUGUGUUUUCUUUAUUUGGUUAAGUAAGUGAACUCAGUUUUAUUCUCUGUUCGCCAUCACGGCUUUGUUGAAAUAAAUUCCAACACUGGUAUAAUGGUUUCAAGAAUAUUCCAGUUACAACUUACUUCUAAUAAUCAUGUGAACAAGUUAUUCCUUCUUUGUCCCAUCUCGGCUUUGUUAGAAUAAAUUCUAACGCCGGUACAAUCGUAUCGAAACAAUCCCCUAUUACAUAAUUAUUAAGUACCUUUGAAUACCAUCUCGGUUUUGUGGAAUAAAUUCCAACACCAGUUUAAUGGUAUUCUAAUGUACAAAAUUGAUGAAUAGUUAGUUGAUAGAAACAAAUAAAUAAAUAAAGAACAAAAGAAUAAUAAAAUUAAGUGACAUUUAUUUAUUUACUCCCUUUCUGGUGCUUUUUAUUAACAAACCAAACUUAUUCCUUAAGGAAGGUUGGUAUUAAAGAAUAAAUAAAUUGUGGAAUGUAAAUAACAAUAAAUAAAAGUUAGUAAGUCAGUUUCAUCACUUUUUUAUAUUAAAAAGUGUGUCAACAAAUAAAUUUAUUGAUAACACUUUACUAUUUUACAAUUUACACCUCUUUCAAGUUCAAUUGUAGUAUAGUAUAGGUUAUGUCGAACCACAAGGAAUUGCCUAACAGAAUGAAUAAUAUGAAUAUGUCAAUGCACAAAUAAGGAGUGAACAUAUUUUGGUUAUUUUUUAUUUGGUUUGAUAUGCACAUAAAUACUUAAAAAGAAACAUAAACUAAGUAUUAACAAAUUCUUGAGUAGACAAUAUCAUUUUGAAUGAUGAAAGUAUUUCUCAACUUAUUAUGUAUUUGAACUACUUACACAAGUUCUUAUGUUUUACUUUGAUUAAAACUUACUUACUUACAAAACAAAAAAACUAUAAAACUUAUUGACAAAAGCUUCUAUGAAUCGAGCUUUCAAACUAAGAAAUAAGUAGAGAGAAUUGUGUUUUUUCUUAAGGGAAGAGAGAUUUUUUAAGAGAUGAUGUUCUGAAUGAAGGAAAUGCCAUCCUAUUUAAAGAAUUUCCCAGCCACCACUAGGCUACUUGUUUGCACUGCUCAGUAGCUGACUAAACCCUUCAUCAUGGGUUUGGUCACUUGGUCAAGUAGCUUGGUCACCUCCUUAAGCUUGACUCACCAAUGUUAGUUGUGAGUUAUGGGACCAGCUAUGGUGAGCUACUCCUGAAAAGCCUAUGGUGGGCUACUUGAAGUGAGGUCAUGCAUGACUUCAUUGUUUCUUGAUGGUUAAGUUAAUUUUGGGUGCACACCGCUGAGCACACAAGUGGCACCACUAGGCUGCCUGCUUGUCCAUGUUGACUGAGACGUGGCUUGGUGCUUGUUGACCUGGUCAGGUGUCUGGUUCACCGUUGAGCACACAUGUGGCACCGUUGAGCUGCCUGCUUGAGCAGCUUGGGCGUGUUAGGCUUGUGUCUGACCGUGCCAAGCUUGUGUUCUGACCGUGUCAGGCUUUGUCUGGUGCUAGGCUGAGCGGUCAAGCAAGUCCAAUAAGUUGAGCGGUCAAGCAGGUCCACUAAGCUGUCUGCUUGAGCAACUUGGUAUGUGCCAGGUUGGUUUGACUGAGCCAGGUUGGGUCUGGCCGUGCCAGGCUGGUGUCCAGGUCAGCUCCAUGUAGCUUAGUCCAUGCUAAGCUGCCUAGUUGAGCACCUUCAGUUUGACUUCUUUUUCUUGUUGGGUCAUGAGUCUUUAUUCUCUUUUCUUUUUCUUUCUAAAUCCUACAAAACACAUUAAAGAGAAAUACAAACACAAAUAUACAAGAUUGUGAUAUUUUAUCCAAAAAGUAUUGUUUUUAAGUUAGUUUUUCUCAAUUAUUUUAAGUUGGUUUUUCUCAAUUAUGCUUAAGAUAAGUGCCAUAAAAGUGUAUGAAAUUUAGGUAUGUUUGGCACUUAUCAAACUCCCCCCAACUUAAAAUUUUGUUUGUCCUCAAACAAAAGGUAAAGUUGAUCCGAAUUCACAUUUGGUUAAGUUUAAAGAUGAUCAACAUGAUUUCAAAUGUUCAUAAGCAUGUCAAAAAUUGAUAUCAAUGAGAUUUUUCUUGAUUUGUGAAUUUUGACACAUAAUGCUUCAAACAAGGAAUAAAUGCUUUUGUUUAUAAAAAAUGUGUAACAAUUUACUUAAGCAAAUAUUUUUCUAACCAAAAAGUGUUUUUUGCACACAAGUUCAAAAUUGGAACUUUUUAGAGGGUAAGUGUUUCACUCAAUUUUUCAAUCAUUUGUUUGUAGUAAUUUGAACUUGAUCUUUGUCUCACCUAUUCUCUUAAAUUGCAUAAAUAAUCAAAGAUCACUAAGGUCUUUAUUUUGGUUGUAAUGAGUCUUGGUUUGGAUAAUGGUUUUUCUAGAUAUUCAAUGCUAAGUUAAAAAGAGAGCAUUUUUGAAAUUUUUCUCAAUGAAGCACUUCACUCUUCUUCUCUCCAUUAUUUCUUUUCCCCCCCUCUUAAACUUUUGAACCUUUGCUUCAAUUUUUCUCAAACUCAUUUUUUUUUUCUUUUUCAUUUGUAAAGAGAUUGAGUUUUUCUUUCUUUCUUUUUAAGAAGCAAAGUCCCCCCCCCACAAAUUAAUUCUUUCAAACUAUCCUUUAAAAUUUAAUGCUCUCUUAGAACAUUGUUUUUUUUUUCAAAUUCGGUUUCAUUGGAUAGUUUGAAAAAUUAUUUCACUUGUUUGGCUCAAAGGGGCUUAUCAAAGGAUGAUCCUAAUUGGAUUUGGACUUUUUGGCCUUUGGUUCAACUAAUGAAGGAACAUGCCUUGAUCAUUUCUUAUCAUUUUUAUGCAAUUAAGAGAUUUAAAGACUCAAACAAAUUUAGUUAGACAAAUCACAUGUUGAUUCUCACUUUGAUUAUGACGUGUGUUUGGCUCACUCCCUCACUUGGUUUGGUUUUACACUUUUUUUAUUUAAAAGAUGUUUGCAAAGAUCUUGUUACACAAAAUUGAAUUUUCAAUUUGCAAAAAUUUCAAGUGAAGACAUUAUAUGAUGUUUUCACAAAAGUUUAGCAUAUACUCAUUUUGCUCACUCAAAGCUUAAUUCAAAGUAUGCUUAGCAUUUUCUAAUCAUGUGAUCAUGUUUCAAGAAAUUUGUUUAGCCAUUUUGAUUUUGAUUUUGAAAUUUUUUGAGUUUUUGAACAAACAAAUUUACUUUUUUACAUAUUUACACAAUCUAAACAAAAAAGUUUUAAAUUACGUUAAACUAUUUUUGGGACUUACUUGAUGUGAUUUAAAAAUUGCUUUGUUUUAAAAAAUAAUGCUAACAAAAGACAAUGAUAAAGGAAGUAAAUAUUUACCAAAUACUGGGUUGACGUCUGACUUUGAACGAGAUUAUUCUGAUUGCUCAUUGAUGAUGGAGCCUGACUUAUCACCCAAAUAAGGUUUUAAUCACUGUCCAUUUACUACCCAAGUUGCUUUCGUCUCGGGAUCUUUCAACUCAAUUGCUCUAUAUUCUUUUACUUCUUUGAUGACAAAUGGUCAUGUCCAUCUUGUUCUGAAUUUUCCUGGAAGUAUUUUGAGCCUUGAGUUGAAUAGAAGUACUUUAUGUCCUUGAUAAAAAAAUUUCUUUCUGAUUAUGGAAUCAUGGUACUUCUUUGUUUUUUCCUUAUAUAGUCUUGAAGAUUCAUAUGCUUGGAAUCUCGUUUCUUCCAGUUAAUAUAAUUGAUCCUGUCUUUUAAUAUCUGCAUCCUUCAAAUCAAAGUUUAGAAAUUUGAGAGCCCAAUAGGCCUUAUGCUCCAACUCAACUGGUAGAUGACAAGCUUUGCCAUAAACAAGUUGAAAUGGAGUUUUACCUAUUGGUGAUUUAAAUGCAGUUCUAUAGGCCGAGAGAGUAUCAUCCAGUUUUUGUGACCAGACUUUUCUUGAAGUAAAGACUGUUUUUUCCAAAAUUCUUUUUAACUCUCUGUUUGAUACCUCCGCUUGGCCGUUUGUUUGUUAUAAAAUUCUAAGGUUCUUUUUAAUUGGGAAUUUAUGAAAUGAGAUCCCCCAUCACUUAUCAAUACUCUUGGUGUGCCGAAACGAGUNNNNNNNNNNNNNNNNNNNNNNNNNNNNNNNNNNNNNNNNNNNNNNNNNNNNNNNNNNNNNNNNNNNNNNNNNNNNNNNNNNNNNNNNNNNNNNNNNNNNAGUCAAUGCCCCAACAAUCAAAAAUUUCUAUUUCUAUGAUAUUUUGUAAAGGCAUUUCACUUUGUUUCCCAAGUCCCCCAGACCUUUGGCAUGCAUCACACUUUUGGACAUACAUUUGGGCAUCUUGAUAAAUGGUUGGCCAAAAGAAUCCAGAUUGGAGUACUUUGGUCGCGGUUCUGUUCACAUUGUAAUGUCCCCAUAGGCCGAAUUAUGACAAUGCCAUAAUAUUUUUUGGGCCUCAUUCUCAUCAACACAUCAUCUAAUGAUAUUAUCGGUGCCUUCUUUGAACAUGUAUGGUUCAUCCCAGACGUAUUGAUUCACUCUUUUGAGAAAAAAUUUCUUCUGCUGAUAAUUGAAAUGUUCAGGAAUUGUACCUGAGACUUUAUAGUUGGCCAUAUCAGCAAACCAUUGUCUUGUUUGAAGUGGAAAUAGCUUUUCAUCAGGAAAUGUUUCUGCUAUUUCUUGUUCUCUUAAUGCGACUUCUUUAUUUACCAAACUUGACAAGUUAUAUGCCACUUGGUUUUCUUUGUCACUCUUGUCGCGAAUUUCUAAGUCAAAUUCCUGCAAAAGCAAAACCCAUCUAAUCAACCAUCGCUUGGAGUCGGGUUUUCUAAGAAGAUAUUUGAUUGCGGCAUGGUCAGUAUAAAUAAUUGUUUUUCCCCUAAUCAAAUAGCUUCUAAAUUUUUCCAAUUCAAACACUAUUGCUAGCAACUCUUUUUCGGUUGUAGCAUAAGUGAUUUGUGCUUCGUUUAGAACUUUGCUAGCAUAAUGUAUUGCAUGAAAAACCGGUUCCUUUCUCUGUCCCAGAACUGCACCAACUGCAUAAUCACUUGCAUCACACAUUAGUUCAAAAGGUUAUUNNNNNNNNNNNNNNNNNNNNNNNNNNNNNNNNNNNNNNNNNNNNNNNNNNNNNNNNNNNNNNNNNNNNNNNNNNNNNNNNNNNNNNNNNNNNNNNNNNNNGUCUUUGAUGAACCUACGAUAGAAUCCAGCAUGUUCGAGAAAGCUUCUGAUUAUUUUAACAUUUGUUGGAGAAGGCAUCUUUUCGAUCACUUCUAUCUUAGCUUUAUCAACUUCUAAUCCUUUGACUGAAAUUUUGUGUCCGAGUAAAAUUUCUUCAGUGACCAUGAAGUGACAUUUUUCCCAAUUUAGAACCAAGUUUGUCAAGCAAGUUUCAAAGGAUUCUCCGAACACAGAAAAAUCAUCCAUGAAGACCUCGAUGCAUUUCUCCACCAAAUCUGCGAAGAUAGCCAACAUCCAUCUUUGAAACGUUGCAGGAGCAUUACAUAGUCCGGAUGGCAUUUUUAUGUAUGCAUAAACACCAAAUGGACAUGUAAAUGCCGUCUUUUCUUGGUCCAAUGGAUCCACAUCAAUUUGAUUGUAUCCAGAGUACCCAUCCAGGAAACCAUAGAAGGCUCUUCCGGCUAAUCUUUCCAGCAUUUGAUCCAUGAAGGGCAAUGGAAAAUGAUCCUUUCUUGUGGCGGCAUUAAGUUUGCGGUAGUCAAUACAAACUAUCCAACCAGUAACAUCUCUAGUUGGAAUUAGUUCAUUGUUCUUAUUUCGAAUUACCAUCAUCCCUCCUUUUUUUGGCACCACUUGAACUGGACUUACCCAUUUACUAUCCGAAAUGGGGUAGAUCAUACCAGCUUCUAACAUUUUCACAAUUUGUUUCCUCGCCACUUCCUUCAUUGUCGGAUUAAGUCACCUUUGCGGUUGAGCACAAGGUUUAUAAUCAUCCUCCAUCAUAAUUUUGUGCAUGCAAUAUGAUGCACUGAUGCCUUUGAGAUCUUUUAAUGUCCAUCAAGUGCUGCUUGAUGCUUCUUCAAGACUUGUAUUAGUUUUUCUUCCUCCAAAUUGGACAACUUACUGUUGAUGAUUACUGGAUUGUUAGCCUCUCCAUCUAAAAAAGCAUACUUUAAAUGAGACGGUAAUUCCUUCAACUCCAAUUAUGAUUCUUUCUCUGCUGGUCCGCUUGGAUUUUGUUGAAGAAAUAAUUCAUCAGAAAAGUGUUUGAUAAUUUCUUCCUCCACUUUGUUUUCUUGCAUCACCAAAGAUUUGUCAGGUUGAGGGUGUUCUGCGCAAAUUUCUUCAACAACAUCUAGUUGUAGGCAUUGCCCUUUAUCCUUCGAAUGAUGCAUUGCAUGGAAAAUGUCAAACUCAAUUUCAUCAUCUGCAACUCGAACUAGUAAAAUGCCAUUUUCCAUGUCAAUCCCCAUUUUUGAUGUCCUCAUAAAAGGUCUCCCUAAUAUGAGUGGGAUCUUCGUAUCUUCGGUAAUGUCAAUGACGGCAAAGUCCACCGGCAUAAAAAAUUUGUCCACUUUGACCAAAACAUCCUCUACAACCCCUUUAGGAUAUUUGAUUGAGCUAUCUGCUAGUUGCUAUGAUAUUCUUGUAGGCUUUAAUUGUAUUCCUCCAAUUCUUUUCAUCAUUGACAGCAACAUCAAACUCACACUGGCUCCAAGAUCAACGAGUGCAUUGCCCACAUACACAUUUCCAAUAGUGACAGGAAUGGUCACACUGCCUGGGUCUUUUGAUUUACGAAGGAAUGUUCACAGCACUACAGUUGGUGUUGAGUGAAACAACUUCCUUUUCCUGAUAACGCCGUGUUUUGGACAAUGGUUCUUUCAUGAACUUGGAGUAAAUUGGCAUUUGCUCCAAGGCUUCAGCAAAUGGAAUAUUGAUUUGCAAAUUUUUGAAUAUCUCCAUGAACCUGUGAACUAUUCUUCUUUCUUGGUUUUUAAUGAAGCUACCGGGUAGGGUAUCUUUUUUUGUACCAGUGGGUAUUGUUUUUCUUCUUUUCUUACCCCACUAGUUUCCUCUUUUUCUUCUUCUUUUUCAUUUUUUUUCUUCGUUUUUAUUUUAUUCUUCUAAUCUCUCUUUUGGUUUUUCAAGUCCACCUUCUACCAUCUUCCAACUUCAAUUCGUAAUACUUUCACAAAAUUCUGAUUUGACCAAAUGAGUUUUUGUCAAGUUGUUGAUUUGUUCUUCAAUUUUAGUGAGAGCUUCACUUGUGUUCUGCUGAUGGUUGAUAGUAUUUUGUAGGAACUGGUUGAGAAUUUUUUCUAGCUCGUCAUGAUAAGUGUGAGUUGUUUGGAAGGCAUAGACAUUCUGGUUGUUUUUACAAUCAUUACACCAAAAACUUGCUUUGUUGGUUUGUUCCAUUUGUUUAGGUAAAUCUCGAAGUUUUUGAUGGACCGAAUUGAGCUUGAGUUGGAAUUCUUUGAUGAAUUUUUCAAUUUCUUGUUGUAAAUCAACAUGCUAGUCCAUUUCUGAAAAAUGAAAUAAAAAGGUACCAUUUUGUCUAUUCCCAAAAGAAAAGAGAUUAGUAGGUAAAGAAAACAUAGUUUACAUCUUUGUACAAAUUCAAACAAUUUGUACAAAAAACAAAAAUAAAUUUAUGCACAAUUAUUUGAGGAAUGAUAUAUAAAUAUGAAAAUUCUAUUCUUAAAGCAAUUCCCCGGUAACGACGCCAAUUUGUUGAAAGCGUUAUUUGAGAGGUUUCCCCUCAACAAAUUGUCCCUGACAGCAGCGCCAAUUUGUUGAAAGGAGUAGUCUCUUCGAUGUGUUUUCUUUAUUUGGUUAAGUAAGUGAACUCGGUUUUAUUCUUUGUUCGCCAUCUCAGCUUUGUUGAAAUAAAUUCCAACGCCGGUAUAAUGGUUUCAAGAAUAUUCCAGUUACAACUUACUUCUAAUAAUCAUGUGAAUAAGUUAUUCCUUCCUUGCCCCAUCUCGGCUUUGUUGGAAUAAAUUCUAACGCCGGUACAAUGGUAUCGAAGCAAUUACCUAUUACAUAAUUAUUANNNNNNNNNNNNNNNNNNNNNNNNNNNNNNNNNNNNNNNNNNNNNNNNNNNNNNNNNNNNNNNNNNNNNNNNNNNNNNNNNNNNNNNNNNNNNNNNNNNNACAAUUUACACCUCUUUCAAGAUUCAAUUGUAGUAUAGUAUAGGGUUAGGUCGAACCACAAGGAAUUGUCUAACAGAAUGAAUCAUAUGAAUAUGUCAAUGCACAAAUAAUGAGUGAACAUAUUGUGGUUGUUUUUUAUUUGAUUUGAUAUGCACAUAAAUAAUUAACAAGAAACAUAAACUAAGUAUUAACAAAUUCUUGAGGAGACAAGAUCAUUUUGAAUAAGGAAAAUAUAUUUCUCNNNNNNNNNNNNNNNNNNNNNNNNNNNNNNNNNNNNNNNNNNNNNNNNNNNNNNNNNNNNNNNNNNNNNNNNNNNNNNNNNNNNNNNNNNNNNNNNNNNNGGUCUGAAAUCCUCCUUUUAGUGUAUGUCCUAAAAUGGUAGAAUGAUGAUCACUUAUAUUUAUUACUAAACAAUAUUACAUCCACAAAGAGACUAGGUUGUCACACCCUGAUCUUGGCUACUCUAAUAUUGAAGUAGUAAUGAAUAUAAGAUCUUAAGAAAAGCAUGCUUAACUUGGCAAAUAAACUAAGUAGUACAACUACUUCUGAGUUUAUUUGUUAAGUGUUUGAGACAAGUAAUUUUUCAUGACUUGAAAUCAAUUUUUAGGUGAUCAAUCUAAAAAGAACAUUAAGUAGUUCAAAUACUUGUGGCACCGCUGAGCUGCCUGCUUGAGCAGCUUGGGCGUGUGCCAGGCUUGUGUCUGACUGUGCCAAGCUUGUGUUCUUACUGUGUCAGGCUUUGUCUAGUGCUCGACUGAGUGGUCAAGCAGGUCCGUUAAGCUGCCUGCUUGAGCAACUUGGUCUGUUGGGUCUGACUGUGCCAGGCUAGUGUCCAGGUCAGCUCAGCGUAGCUUGGUCCAUGCUAAGCUGCCUGCUUGAGCACCUUGAGUUUGACUUCUUUUUCUUAUUGGGCCAUGCGUCUUUAUUCUCUCUUCUUUUUCUUUCUAAAUCCUACAAAACACAUUAAAGAGAAAUACAAACACAAAUAUACAAGAUUGUGAUAUUUUAUACCAAAAGUAUUGUUUUAAGUUGGUUUUUCUCAAUUAUGCUUAAGAUAAGUGCCAUAAAAGUGUGUGAAAUUUAGGUAUGUUUGACACUUAUCAUUGUGCUUCUUUCAUACUCAUACAAAUUCACUUAAGUAUUUAAGUUUAACCAAUUCAUAUAUGGCAGAAUAAUAGACAUAUAGUAGGUGUCUCUUUUUAUAAAAAUCACAAGGGGCUCCCUAUUUGUUUCAAAGAUAAAAUGUAAAAUAGUCUUCUUUGUUUUGAUAAACCAUAUCGGUUCUUGGUCAAAUUGUUUGUUUAGUAUCCAUCAUAAAUCAACAAUUAUUUGACACAUUUUCUUGUAAAACAAAAUUAUGAAUAAAAAUAAGUUGAACAAUCCUAGGAGUAAUAGACACCAAGUUUUAUGCCCUAGGUCCAGAUGAAGGUGGUUCUUCACAUCAGUACCAUCUCCAUUAAUGCAAAGGAAUAUGUUUUUGGAAGUAUUAUCUCUACAAAUUGGGUUAUGGUUUGAAAGUGUGUGUGCAUAAAAAUUUAUGUUGUGAUCUCAAUAGAAAGGAAGGACAAGGAAUUUAUGAGUAUAGAAUAAAACAAAAUUCAACAAGGUAAAACAAACAGACUGACAUAAAAGAUGUACGGAUGAAAAGUCUUCCCAUUCCUCAAAAGCAUCCUCCAUAUUGUUUGCAGCAUCAGGAGAGAAGAUAAGUUGUUAGGACAUGGGUAGCGGUGGCUAUAAAGAGGGAGAGUUGAUGACACAAAAAGUUAGGGUUGGCUUUUGUUAUAUAAUAUUCUAAUAUUAUAUAGAAUAUUAUAAACAUAUAUAAAAGGAAGGGAACGUGAAAUUAAUCUCAUCUCCAAAGAGAUAUAUAGAGAGAGACUAUAAAAUUGUGUUUAUAUUAUGUAACAGAGAAAUAGAUAGGGUUGAAACAACACAUAAGGGGGGAAGAGUGCUAGGAUUUUCGUUUACAAAUGUAUGUAGAAUUCUAGAAUAAUAAAAUAACUACUAUAUAUAUAUAUAAGAGUAGGCUUAUAUAUUUUGCAUUGUAUUAUGAUAAUAUACAUCAUAAUUGUAACGGUAAUUGAUAUAUAUUAAUAAUGUCAUAGGUGUUGUAUAAUUAUGAAUGAAAUGAUUAAAAGAUAAAAGUGUGAUAAUUUAGUCCCAAUAUUUUAGGAUAAAUGCUAUCAUAAACAUAACUAUUCAAAUUAAAGCAAGAUAAUGUUAUCAAAAUAAUUAAUAUUGAAGAUAUUACUAGAUAAUUUAUUAUGAAAAAGAUAAUCACUCAAAAAAUAUAUUUUAUGCAAAUUCACUAUGUAUAAAAAAAUAUGCCAAUAAUAUAAUAAAUCAAUUUCAAUCAUUAAAUAUAUUUUUGAAACAAACCAAAUUUUAGAUUAUAAAUAUUCACUUGACCACAAGAUAACCAAUAAAAUAACUUGGCUCAUAAAAGACACACGGUCAGACUUGCUCAACUUGGCUCAUAAAAGACACGAUCAUGAUGCAACAGGAAUACACGGUCAGGGUGCAUCAGCACCAGGCACUGGCACAGGCGCACCAGGCGCAUCACGUGGACACGGUCAGGGUGCAUCAACACCAGGCACAAGCACAAGCACAUGUGCACCAGGUGCAUCAGGCGCAUCACGUGGACAUGGUUAGGAUGCCUCAGCAUGAGGCACAUCACCGAGACACGAACACGGUCAGGAUGCAUCAGCAUCAGGCGCAUCACACAGACUCGGACAUGGGUGCAUCAGCACCAGGCACAAGCGCGGUCAGACUAGCAGAUUGGCGCAUUACGCGCAUGCACAAUGACAGGGUCAGGCGCAUAUAUUGGCGCACAUGAUGGCGCACCAAGUAGCUUUACCUCCUCGGUCAUCACAGACCCCAUGGGACACCAAAAGUGUUUUUAGCAAACCAAACCCAUCCUCUCUUGAAUACUUAUUGGCACAUAUGCAUUUUUAUUAGGCACAUGUUUUUUACUUAGUCAAAGUUGGUUAUUUCGAUUUUGGUAGUUAAGAUAGGUAGGUAGCUUGUUUCCCAAGCAAGGUCAUCAAUUAUAUAAGUGAAUCUUGCAUCAUUGUAAAACUAACAAAAAACUUCUUCUAUUCAAUAAACAGGAGGUAUAUUCAGCUUACACUCAGCCACCAAAGGUAUCAGAGCCUUCUUCUUGAAGGUAUCACAGCCUUCUUCUUGAAGGUUCUGAUUGCCACCAAAGGUGAAGUAAAGCACCAUACACUCAGCCAAGCUUUCUGGCAAGAGGAAGGAUUAAUGGAAUCCGUACAGCAUCAAUAAACCUACGAGGCAUGAAUCCCUUCAAAACAAUAAAAGAAAAUGGCAGAAGAUUCUUCCAUUCAUCAAGAACAAGAACAAGAAUUGUAGUUUGACAUAAACAACAAUGAUCUGAAGAAUCCAUUCUAUCUACAUCCAGGAGAGAAUCCUGGAGCAGUUCUUGUCACACCAUCUCUAGAUGGUGGUAACUACCACUCUUGGAGCAGGGCCAUGAAGAGGGCCUUGCUGUCCAAAAAUAAAUUCAAGUUCGUAGAUGGUACAAUCACACCACCUAACCCAAGCAGCAUUGACUAUGACACAUAGGAGAGAUACAACACAAUGGUGUUCUCCUGGAUUACAAGGUGCUUGUCUUAACAAAUAGCACAAAGCACCAUCUAUAUCGAUAAUGCACAGGAUCUUUGGCUUGACCUCAAGGAGAGAUACUCAAAAGGGAAUUAUUUCAGGUUCUCAGAUGUUCUACAUGAGUUACACUCAAUCAAACUAGGAGAUAGGAACAUCUCAAGUUACUUCACUGACCUGAAAAUACAAUGGGAUGAGCUAGAAUCAUUAAGACCAAUGUCUUAUUGCACAUCUGAGGUAAAAUGUUGGUGCAAGUUGGACAAAACCGUGAGGAGUCAUAAAGACAUAAAGUAUGUCAUCUAUUUCCUAAAUGGCCUAAAUGAUCAGUUCAAUACAUCCACAACUCAAAUCCUUCUUAUGGAGCCUCUACCAACAAUCAACAAAGCCUUCUCAUUACUUCUUCAACAAGAAAGCCAGAUGGAUGAACUAGAUACCUCAAGGGUGUUGUUCAAUCAACAGAUCAACAAGAAGGAUGCGCCACAACUAUGGCUAAGAGAAGCAACUCAGCCUUGGAAAGCUAAGAGUAGUCAGCCAAAAGGAAACUUCAUGCAGGAAAGAGGUAGAGGAACAGGGAAAGGUUCUUGGAAUCAGAAAGGAAAUAGCAUAAAGGUAUGUACCUAUUGUGGCAAAGAGAAGCACACAGUGAACACAUGCUACUUCAAGCAUGGGUUUCCACCAAACUUACAACAAUCAAGAUCAAGACAGGAUUCUGGGAUGAUUAAUGUUGCAACAAUAAAAGAUCAAAACGCACAAUAGGAGUCAAACAAACAACCAAUAACGACCAACUCAAGGGAUAUGGCUUUCAACUUUAGUCCUGAACAAUGUGAGCAAAUAGCAUCCCUGAUCAAAAGCAUGGGAACUGGAUCAUCAGGUCACAAAGUAAAUCAGUUAAGCAUAGAACCAAGAAACACUUCACAAGGCAAUCAGAACCAAGAAGGUAAUCAAAUAACAGGUAACAUUUCACACUGGAUCCUAGACAUAGGAGCCACAGAUCAUGUGUGCCCUGGUUUGUCAAGCUUCACUGCCUUCCAUAGGAUAAGGCCAAUUGCCAUUGGUCUACCUAAUGGCACCAAAAUAUUUGCUAAGCAUUCAGGAACCAUAAUGAUCUCAGAAGAGUUAAUCUUACAUGAUGUUUUGUAUAUACCUAACUUUAAAUUUAACUUGAUCUCAGUACACAAACUCACCAACUCUUUACAUUGCAAGCUAACCUUUUAUGAUGCCAAUUGCUCUAUUCAGGAUAUGAUUAUCUUGAGGACGAUUGGACAUGCUGAUGUUAAAAAAGGAUUGUACAUCUUAAGUAAUUCUUUUAGGAAUGAAUGUGAAUUACACCACAAUGUAAACACUCUAAAUACUGUUGAUUUCUUUGACCUAUGGCACUUUCGACUUGGGCAUCCAUCAAAUACUGUAUUGAAUUCAUUAUGCAAAGAGUUUGAUUAUGUUAAAUAUGACUCUACAAAUGUUUGUGAUUAUUGUUAUUUAGGUAAGCAUGCUAAACUACCUUUUCCUAACCAAAUGAAUAGAACUCAUCGUCCCUUUGACAUGAUACAUAUCGAUAUAUAGGGGCCUCUAGCAAAUAGCUCUAUUAAUGGUCACAAAUAUUUCCUCACUAUAGUUGAUGACCAUAGCAGGCACGCAUGAAUUUUCCUUAUGAAUUCUAAAUCAGAAGCUAGAACACUUGUGCAAGAUUUUUUCAAACUAGUUCACACUCAAUAUGACAAGGCUGUCAAGAUUAUAAGAAGUGACAACGGUCAUGAGUUCCAUAUACCUAACUUCUAUCAAGAAAGAGGCAUAAUCCACCAAACUUCUUGUGUGGAAACUCCCCAACAUAACUCAGUGGUUGAAAGAAAACAUAGACACAUCUUGAAUGUGACUCGUAUCCUUCUCCUUCAGUCUAAGUUACCUAGGAAUUUUUGGUCCUUUACAGCACAACAUGCCACUUACCUUAUAAAUAGGCUCCCUAGCCAUGUCCUUAAGUUUAAGACGCCUUAUGAACUAAUUCACAGUAAGAAGCCCAAUCUGUUAGAACUCAAAGUCUUUGGGUGCUUAUGUUUUGCAUCCACUUUAACCCAGAACAGAUCCAAGCUUGACCCUAGAGCAAGAAAGUGUGCUUUCUUGGGUUACAUGCCAACUACCAAGGGCUAUAUCCUCUUUGAUUUAAAGAACAUGGAAAUUUUCAUCUCUAGGCAUGUUGUGUUUCAUGAGCACAUAUUCCCUUACCGAUCCAACCACACUUUUGAAGAUGACAAUGGGAAUAGCCUCGAGGAUGACCUGGCAUUCCCUGAUAUACAACCUGGGCCACCUACCAUUACAAAGGACACUAGAAUAAAAAGUCCCGAUGACCUGCCAUAUGAAAGUAAUUAUUAGGAUCCCAAGGAAGAGAUAGCUAACCAGACCCAUAAAACUACUGAUACUCAAGUCCUUAGACACUCAUCUCAGUCCAAAAAACCCCUACUUACUUGCAGGAAUUUCAGUGCUUCUUGUCUGCCUAUGAUUCCCAUGAAUCUACCCCUUGCAAAACCAGCAAGCACACACUCUUCUCCACCUUAUCCUAUGAACAUAUAUCCCCCCAUCAUCUUAAUCACAUCAUCUCCACUAGCACCAAUGUUGAUCCCAAAACAUACAAGCAAGCCAUACAAUCCAAGCACUGGAUAGAGGCUAUGCAACAUGAGCUCAAUGCCCUUGAGGUCAACAAAACUUGGUCAUUGGUUGAUCUACCUCCCAACAAGAGACUCAUUAGCUCUAAAUGGGUCUAUAAGAUCAAAUAUAAAUCUGAUGUGACAAUUGAAAGAUAUAAAGCUAGGCUUGUGGCUAAAGGUUUUAGUCAAACAGAGGGUAUAGAUUUUCUUGAAACUUUUGCACAUGUAAUUAAACUCACCACUGUCAGACUAUUGUUAUCCAUUGUUGCUUCACAGAAUUGGAUUGUGCAUCAGCUUGAUGUUAACAAUACAUUUCUUCAUGGUGAGUUAAGUGUGGAUGUUUAUAUGAACAUACCACAGGGAGUUGUGUGCAAGGAACCUAACAAAGUAUGCAAGCUACAUAAGUCCCUCUAUGGACUUAAACAGGCAGGUAGGCAAUGGUUCACAAGGUUAACUCAAACUCUUCUCUCUUUAGGAUAUGUUCAAUCACAUCAUGAUCACUCUUUAUUCACUAAAAAUAUUGGGCCUCAUUUUACUGCUUUACUUAUAUAUGUGGAUGAUUUAGUACUAAGUGGUAACAAUCAAACUGAAAUAGAUUUUGUUAAGAAUUGUUUGGAUAAGCAAUUUAAGAUCAAAGACCUUGGUGCUAUUAAAUAUUUUCUUGGAUUGGAGGUAGCUAGAUCUAAAAAUGGGAUCAUUCUAUGCCAAAGAAAGUAUGUUCUUGAUAUUAUUUUAUCAAAACCACAAAAAUGGGCCUCAUGAUGUGAUUGACCACAAAAAUGCUCAUGACCGCAAAAAUGGUUCACAAGGUUAACUCAAACUCUUCUCUUAAAGCCUGUUCCAACACCUAUUAUCAAAACCACAAAACUACACCAGGGUGACUCAAAUGCAUACAAAGAUCCACCUGCAUAUAGAAGGUUAGUAGGGAGGCUACUAUAUCUAACCAAUAUGAGGCCAGAUAUUAAUUAUGUUGUCCAACAAUUGAGCCAAUUCAUGGCUAAUCCAAUAACCACUCACUUCAAGACCCUGACUAGAGUGCUCAGAUAUAUCAAGGGUAGUCCAGGGCAAGGACUGUUCUAUGGCUCCUCAUCUCAUCUCCAACUCAAGGCUUUCAGUGAUUCUGAUUGGGCAUCCUGCAUUGACUCUAGAAAAUCCAUAACUGGUUUGUGUGUUUUCCUUGGUAAUUCUUUAAUUUCUUGGAAAUCCAAGAAGCAAAAUACGGUGGCCUAUUCCUCCUUUGAAGUAGAGUACAUGGCAUUAGCAGCAGCAACUUGUGAAACUUAGUGGUUAACCUUUUUACUUGACAACUUCAGAAUUCCAUUCAAAAGACCAACAUUGUUGUAUUGUGAUAAUGACUCAGCAAGGUACAUAGCAACUAACUCUAUCUUCCAUGACCAUACCAAACACAUUGACAUUGUUUGUCAUGUUGUUAGGGAACGUCUUCAAUCCAACCUUUUCCAUCUCCUACCAAUCAAAACAACACAACAAUGUGCAGACAUAUUAACCAAGGCUUUAGACCCUUCUCAUUUCUCUUUUCUCUUGUCCAAACUGGGAGUAAUUAACAUCUACUCUCCAUUUUGCGAGGGGGUAUUAAAGUCAGGUCAUUAUGUUCAUGACAAGGACACACGGUCAGACUUGAUCAACUUGUGCAACAUCGUGACCCAGAACACACGGUCAGACUUGAUCAACUUGGCUCAUCAGAGACACGGUCAUGAUGCAACAAUAAUACACGGUCAGGGUGCAUCAGCACCAGGCACAUGCACAGGCACACCAGGCACAUCACGUGGACACAGUCAGGGUGCAUCAGCACCAAGCACAGGCACAGGCGCACCAGGCGCAUCACGUGGACACGGUCAAGAUGCAUCAGCAUCAGGCACAUCACCCUGACACGGACACGGUCAUGAUGCAUCAGCAUCAGGCGCAUCAUACAUACAUGGACGUGGGUGCAUCAACACCAGGCACAGGGGCGGUCAAACUGACAUAUUGGCACAUCAGGCGCAUGUAGAGAGACAAGGUCAGGCGCAUAUAUUGGCGCACAUGGUGGCGCACCAGAUGGUGCACCAAGUAGCUUUUCCUCCUCGGUCAUCACAGACCCCGUGGGACACCAGAAGUGUUUUUAGAAAACCAAACCCAUCCUCACUUAAAUACUUAUUAACACAUGUGCAUUUUUAUUGAGCACAUGUUGUUUACUUAGUCAAAGUUAGUUAUUUCGGUUUUGUUAGUUAAGAUAGGUAGGUAGGUUAUUUCCGAAGCAAGGUCAUCAAUUAUAUAAGUGACUCUUGCAUCAUUGUAAAACUAAUAAAAAACUUCUUCUAUUCAAUAAACAUGAGGUAUAUUCAGCUUAUAAAUCGCUUUAGAUGAUAACCGAAGUGUAAUUAUUAAGGAAAAUUAUGUUGCUCAUCAAGAUGCGAUCCUUAGUGAAGAACAUAGUCAUACACAAAAAAUUAUGCUAUAGUAGUCUAUCACUCAUCUAACAAUUAUGAGGAGAAUAUCCUCAUGAUCCUAAGUCAUUAACUUUAUCUUCCAACAAAAAUUCUUACUUACAAGAAAAACAAUACCUCAGGAACUGAGGAAGGAAACACAACAAAACAAACAAACAAAUAAUCACACCAGAGUCACACAGAGAAAGGGUAUAUGAGGCCUUACCCCAAGCCGGAUAGGAAGGACCAGCUCUGAUACCACUAUUGUAACACCCCGUUUAUGCAACUAAGAAAUUAGGAUUUCAUUAUAAAAACAUGAUGAAAAUUUAAUUAAAAUUAAAGGCAACUGUUAUAAAAUCAGAGUGAAUUUAAAAUUUCUUUUCAUUAACAUGUUUAAGAUGAAGAAAUAUUCAAUCUUAUCAUUACCCAAAAACGAGGUAUCACAUACAACGUCAAAACCAUGAUUUAAACAAUUAUCUAUUUGUUUAAGUAUGUAGUUUUAAAAAAUCAUUAAUCUUAAUCUUAACAUAAUGAUUAUAAAGAUUAUCAUAUAUGCAAAAAGAAUCACUCUUAAGUAUUUUUUAUAAAAUAUAACUUAUACAAAAAUUAGUUCAAAAGCCCAAGGGUAUUCAUAAAUCAGAGCCAAUAAUCCCAAUAUAAACAAGAUACUUAACUAGACAUCAACUAAGUUCUUCUUGUUUAUCUCUCCAUCAAUGGAUAUCCAUAGAGAAACUGCAACAAACCUAGACAUAUACAUAGUAUAGACAAAAGAAAAGACAAAGAAAAGGGAGUAAGAGCCAACUAUAGCGACCGCAACGUGGAAUUACAUAGAGAAAUAACAUUAUAGUGAGACACCCUAUAACAACACCAUAAACAAACAAUGUCAAACAUAUGCAAAUGAUACAUGAAAUUAGUGUCUUAUACAAGAGGAUAUUCACAUCGACAAUCAAUAUAUCUUUUAUGCAAUACAAUAUGCAAUUCACCAACCAAUCAUCACCAAAAUUACAAUACCCGAAGGCCAAGAUCCUAGUGGGAAAGCAACCACGAGUACAGAUAUCCUUAACAAUGGCAAGUAACAAUAUCAAUUUUUUUCCAAUUACCUCUAUUAGUGGUGCUUACGUGGUAAGCCCAGUCCUUUUCAGGAUUCCUCUCUACCGAUCAUGAAAUGCGCAAGGCGUGUCAGAGACCGCUUAGUUGGCAUGUAAGACUAUCCUGGUCAUACGAGUAAUGAACCCGAACCCUCACUAGACUGUCCCACCUAAGCAAUCCCUCAAGGUUUCUUGACGAAUCAGCAUCAUUGUUACCCCUGUCAAAAUCCCGAUGAUAUUCCUAUCAUCGUGCCUUUCCAUUUUCUCCAACUCCAACUACAAGAAUGCAAUGUAUGCACACUAACCGAAGUUAGCUCAUUAAAUCCUUUUAUCAAUAUUAUCUCAAUUUCAAUUUCCACUAACAUCCCCUAAGUUAGUCGUUUCAGCCACAAUGCAUUUCAACCAUGCCAAGUCCAGUGGACGAGCUCAAGAUGCUAACUUAGUGAUCAAAUUCAAGAGGCAAAAGCCCAAUUUUAAACUGUGUAUUUUCCAAAUCAAUAUAACAAUUAACGUAAAAAUUUUCCAUUAAAUACAAUAAUCAAGUUAUAUAUUUUGAAAUCAAUACAACAAUCAACUUAAUAAUAUUUUCCCAUAUCAAUACAAAAUCACAUAUAUAUAUUUUCCUUUUAAAUACAACUAUACAACAAUCAAUAUCAAUAAUUACAAUUGUGAUAUUUCUAAAUUACAACGUUAUCACAAACGUUCAUCACAUAAAAACAAUUAAUAAUUUAUCACAAUACUCACAUGCAUACAAACAUGAUUAUUUAACAAUCUUUCAUGACGAUGUAAUACCAUAAGCGAGUAUCUCGCAUUAUGCUACACAAAAGUGAAUUCAUACACAUAUAUUUCCAACACAAUGAAAUAUCUAAGACUCUAUACAUCGUCAUGAAAAAUAUUAAGGACUCCCACAUGGAAACAAGUUUCUAUGUGAGUUCCUAAUCUACAAGACUCUCCGACUUUUGAAGGAAUCGGAGAGGAAAAACUUUAAUGAAAUACUUUAAAACCACAAUGGUCUUCUCCCUCACCUUAGACGCUUCAUUCCUGUGCUCAAUUCUAUCUUCUUUGAUCCAUCCAUGCCAUUGUCCCAUCCCAAAGCAAAAUCACAUUGUCUAACAGUUAGUCUAAUGCAUUAAUUCCUCCUAAGCACACUGCAGGAUCAUUACCCAAAAGAUAACACAGCAAAAAUUAAUUUCUAGUUCUACAUAUCAGUAUUUAUCCAUCUUUUUUUUUAACAAUUAAUCUCAUGUAUACCUAUACAUAUGACACGUAUACAUAUAUAUAUAUAUAUAUGAAACGUAUGACACUAUAUACUUUUAUGACAAAUUUUGUUUCUCCCAUCCAAACAUGCAUAUUCUAGAAGUAAUGCAUAGGAUAAAUAUGGAUGAUAUUAUUUUCUUACUCAACUGUAACCUUCAAAAGUAAAAGGAAAGGAAAGGAUGCAGUAAUGUAUGCAAAUAUGCAUAAACUUUAGUUUGCCUAAGUUGUGCCCCUUUCAUUCUCAUACAAAUUCACUUAAGUAUUUAAGCUUAACCAAUUCAUAUGUGGCAGAAUAAUAGACAUAUAGUAGGUGUCUCUUUUUAAAAAAAUCAUAAGGGGCUCCCUGUUUGUUUCAAAGAAAGAAUGUAAAAUAGUCUUCUUUGUAUUUGAUAAACCAUAGCGGUUCUUUGUCAAAUUGUUUGUUUAGUAUCGAUCAUAAAUCAACAAUUAUUUGACAAAAUUUUUUGUAAAACAAAAUUAUGAAUAAAAAUAAGUUGAACAAUCCUAGGAGUAAGGGGCACCAAGUUUUAUGCCCUAGGUCCACAUGAAGGUGGUUCUUCACAUCAGUACCAUCUCCAUUAAUGCAAAGGAAUAUAUUUUUGGAAGUAUUAUCUCUAUACAUUGGGUUAUGGUUUGAAAGUGUGUGCAUAAAAAUUUAUGUUGUGAUCUCAAUAAAAAGGAAGGACAAGGAAUUUAUAAGUAUAGAAUAAAAUAAAACUCAACAAGGCAAAACAAACAUAUUGAAAUAAAAGUUGUACCGAUGAAAAGUCUUCCCAUUCCUCAAAAGCAUCCUCCAUAUUGUUUGCAACAUGUGGAGAGAAGAUAACUUUUUAGGAAGUGGGUAGCGGUGGCUAUAAAGAGGGAGAGUUG